RNAcentral lists this ribosomal RNA (253 nucleotides) under uncultured bacterium. RNAcentral's name for it is "partial 16S ribosomal RNA". It matches the Rfam family "Bacterial small subunit ribosomal RNA", at positions 524 to 776 of the family's 1533-position model. The record is from RNAcentral.
UACAGAGGGUGCAAGCGUUGUUCGGAAUUAUUGGGCGUAAAGCGCGUGUAGGCGGCUUUGCAAGUCGGGUGUGAAAUCCCCUGGCUCAACCGGGGAACUGCGCCGGAAACUGGCAGACUAGAGUACCGGAGAGGAGGGUGGAAUUCCUGGUGUAGCGGUGAAAUGCGUAGAUAUCAGGAGGAACACCGGUGGCGAAGGCGGCCCUCUGGACGGAUACUGACGCUGAGGCGCGAAAGCGUGGGGAUCAAACAGG